RNAcentral lists this ribosomal RNA (235 nucleotides) under uncultured Staphylococcus sp. Its description in RNAcentral is "partial 16S ribosomal RNA". It matches the Rfam family "Bacterial small subunit ribosomal RNA", at positions 105 to 334 of the family's 1533-position model. Lineage: Bacteria; Bacillati; Bacillota; Bacilli; Caryophanales; Staphylococcaceae. The record is from RNAcentral.
GGUGAGUAACACGUGGAUAACCUACCUAUAAGACUGGGAUAACUUCGGGAAACCGGAGCUAAUACCGGAUAAUAUUUUGAACCGCAUGGUUCAAAAGUGAAAGACGGUCUUGCUGUCACUUACAGAUGGAUUCGCGCUGCAUUAGCUAGUUGGUAAGGUAACGGCUUACCAAGGCAACGAUGCAUAGCCGACCUGAGAGGGUGAUCGGCCACACUGGAACUGAGACACGGUCCAG